Molecule: transfer RNA, 72 nt
Filed under: Candidatus Pacearchaeota archaeon CG1_02_31_27
Lineage: Archaea; Nanobdellati
Also listed under: 3 other names
Description: tRNA-Asp
Rfam family: tRNA
About the family: Transfer RNA (tRNA) molecules are approximately 80 nucleotides in length. Their secondary structure includes four short double-helical elements and three loops (D, anti-codon, and T loops).
Source: RNAcentral
GCUCGCAUGGUGCAACGGUUAACAUUCAGCCCUGUCACGGCUGCGAACCGGGUUCGAAUCCCGGUGCGGGCG